This 492-nucleotide ribosomal RNA is filed under the name uncultured bacterium. RNAcentral's name for it is "partial 16S ribosomal RNA". It matches the Rfam family "Bacterial small subunit ribosomal RNA", at positions 29 to 507 of the family's 1533-position model. The record is from RNAcentral.
AGUGAACGCUGGCGGUAGGCCUAACACAUGCCAGUCGAACGGCAGCACAGUAAGAGCUUGCUCUUACGGGUGGCGAGUGGCGGACGGGUGAGGAAUACAUCGGAAUCUACUUUUUCGUGGGGGAUAACGUAGGGAAACUUACGCUAAUACCGCAUACGACCUACGGGUGAAAGCAGGGGAUCUUCGGACCUUGCGCGAUUGAAUGAGCCGAUGUCGGAUUAGCUAGUUGGCGGGGUAAAGGCCCACCAAGGCGACGAUCCGUAGCUGGUCUGAGAGGAUGAUCAGCCACACUGGAACUGAGACACGGUCCAGACUCCCACGGGAGGCAGCAGUGGGGAAUAUUGGGCAAUGGGCGAAAGCCUGAUCCAGCCAUACCGCGUGAGUGAAGAAGGCCUUCGGGUUGUAAAGCCCUGUUGUUGGGAAAGAAAAGAAGCAGGUGAAUACCCCGCUGUUCUGACGGUACCUAAAGAAUAAGCACCGGCUAACUUCGUG